This is a non-coding RNA of Thermochaetoides thermophila DSM 1495, 75 nucleotides long. Lineage: Eukaryota; Fungi; Ascomycota; Sordariomycetes; Sordariales; Chaetomiaceae. The record is from the annotation of a RefSeq genome assembly.
UCGGGUGUGGUGUAGCGGUAACAUCGUUGACUCUCACUUGCUCAACAGCCCCGGGUUCGACUCCCGGCAUCCGAG